CAUGGUGGCUAUAACGACGUGGACCCACCUCUUCCCAUUCCGAACAGAGAAGUUAAACGCGUUUGUGCCGAUGGUACUGCCCUACCAGGUGGGAGAGUAGGUAGCCGCCGCCC
RNAcentral lists this ribosomal RNA (113 nucleotides) under Bacteroidales bacterium. The record is from RNAcentral. Lineage: Bacteria; Pseudomonadati; Bacteroidota; Bacteroidia; Bacteroidales.